GUGAGAAUCUGCAUUUGAGAAAUGCACACAGUCACAGAAAGAUCCAACAACACAUCCUUUGCCUAGGAAGGGGAAUAUUAUUUUUUAACCCUUAGUGAGUAAAAGGCACAGAUAAUUCAAAGAAACUAAGAAUUUUUUUUGAUUUCUUUGUCAUUCCCUGAAGAAAUUACUUCAAGAGAGCUGUUCAGCAUCAACAAAGUUUAAACUGGAGGGAAAAUGCUUUACAUACCCUCUAAAAAAACUGCUUCAAUAGUAAGUGAAUCUCAUAAUUUGAAUUAAUUUCUUUUGCAAUAAUAAAUUAUGGCUAUCCUCUUCCUGUCUUGUUGAAAGGUCUAUUAAUGAGUUUAUACAUUUCAUGCAGCUUGAAAUAUCUGUGCUACUUCCCCUAAACAAUGUAUUUGUAAGAAACACAAACAAAUUAAAAAAAAAAAAAGGAAUUGUGUGAAGAAACUGAAAGAAAUAUUUAAACAUUCAUAGAAGAGUUGUCAUCUUUUUUUAGACAAGCUACCUGUGCUUCAGAGGGCAGUUGCCUCAGUGGAGAACUGAUGAUGCUCCACUAUAAUUUCCUUCCUCAGCAUCUUUUGGCUGCAAGUGAAUGCUUCACAAAAACCCUGCCAGCUGCUGCAGAAGCCUGGCCAAAAGCUGCUAAGUCUUAGACAACACAAGUUCUGCAACCAUCUUCCUUCCAGCCUCACAUUUUGGGAUGGCAGCCAGAGAAGUUACCUCUUGUGGAGGAAUCUUACAGGUAACUGUCCUAAGAUCAACCUUGAUAAAUGUAUCUGUACAUGGAAGUACAAGGAUCAUUCCUGAAAAAUAAAAAUUAUUAGAUGAAACACCUCUGAAACUGAAA
Parus major (Great Tit) is the source of this 850-nucleotide long non-coding RNA. RefSeq lists it as uncharacterized. The record is from RefSeq and is a predicted model, not a curated record. The transcript has 2 exons. Lineage: Eukaryota; Metazoa; Chordata; Aves; Passeriformes; Paridae.